UCGAGUGAUUCAAAGUUCCGCAGAUAGAUACGGAAAAGAUCUACAACUUGGCGUUGGUCUCAUCCUCAAAUUCGUUACGGAUUGUCCGUGGUGAAAGCCCUCUUCAAUACCUUCAUUUUGGCGGUGGUUUCACCUCGAUUGACCUCCUGAAACUGAAAUGGUUCACAGGUCAAGAUCUGGUCAGAUCUGAAUUUGUCGAAUUAAACCAGGAGCUUGGGAAUGAAUUUUUGAAUGAAACCAAUUGGGGGAUACUUAGUUGUGCCAUGGUGAUACCGAGAGAGGCAAUUGCUAAGUCGUGGCACUCUCAUACCUCUACUAGAUGCGAACAAUUCCGGAGAAGAAGAAGAAGUGGAAUCGGACGAGGAUUUUAUUUAUGUUGUUGGGAUUGUUAUAUUGAUGGAGUUGAAGAAGUCCAGGGACAAAUAAGCCAAGGCAAGCCAUCUAUUGAUCUCUGAUUGUGAUGUCUCCUUUUGAUGUCACUUCGGUUGCUACUCUUAGCCUCUUGAUCAUUUGUGUGUUUAUCUCCUUAUUGUUGUCAUGCAUGCUUGAUCUCAAGCAUGGUAAUCGUAGUGGUUCUACCUUAUGGUCGUCA
Long non-coding RNA from Lolium perenne, 592 nucleotides. RefSeq lists it as uncharacterized. The record is from RefSeq and is a predicted model, not a curated record. NCBI's taxonomy places the organism in Eukaryota, Viridiplantae, Streptophyta, Magnoliopsida, Poales, Poaceae.